UCGUUUAUUUGAUAGUACCUUACUACUUGGAUAACCGUGGUAAUUCUAGAGCUAAUACAUGCUAAAAACCCCGACUCACGGAGGGGUGUAUUUAUUAGAUUAAAAGCCAAUGCCCUCCGGGGCUCACUGGUGAUUCAUAAUAACUUGUCGAAUCGCAUGGCCUUGCGCCGGCGAUGGUUCAUUCAAAUUUCUGCCCUAUCAACUUUCGACGGCUGGGUCUUGGCCAGCCAUGGUGACAACGGGUAACGGAGGGUUAGGGCUCGACCCCGGAGAACGAGCCUGAGAAACGGCUAUUACAUCCAAGGAAGGCAGCAGGCGCGCAAAUUACCCAAUACCGACUCGGUGAGGUAGUGACGAUAAAUACUGAUACAGGGCUCUUUUGGGUCUUGUAAUUGGAAUGAGUACAAUUUAAAUCCCUUAACGAGGAACAAUUGGAGGGCAAGUCUGGUGCCAGCAGCCGCGGUAAUUCCAGCUCCAAUAGCGUAUAUUAAAGUUGUUGCAGUUAAAAAGCUCGUAGUUGAACCUUGGGCCUGGCUGGCCGGUCCGCCUCACCGCGUGCACUGGUCCGGCCGGGCCUUUCCCUCUGGGGAACCGCAUGCCAUUCACUUGGUGUGUCGGGGAACCAGGACUUUUACUUUGAAAAAAUUAGAGUGUUCAAAGCAGGCCUAUGCUCGAAUACAUUAGCAUGGAAUAAUAGAAUAGGACGUGUGGUUCUAUUUUGUUGGUUUCUAGGACCGCCGUAAUGAUUAAUAGGGACAGUCGGGGGCAUCAGUAUUCAAUUGUCAGAGGUGAAAUUCUUGGAUUUAUUGAAGACUAACUACUGCGAAAGCAUUUGCCAAGGAUGUUUUCAUUAAUCAGGAACGAAAGUUAGGGGAUCGAAGACGAUCAGAUACCGUCGUAGUCUUAACCAUAAACUAUGCCGACUAGGGAUCGGACGGUGUUAUUUUUUGACCCGUUCUGGCACCUUACACGAAAG
This 976-nucleotide ribosomal RNA is filed under the name Paramicrothyrium chinense. RNAcentral's name for it is "SSU rRNA". It matches the Rfam family "Eukaryotic small subunit ribosomal RNA", at positions 113 to 1098 of the family's 1831-position model. Lineage: Eukaryota; Fungi; Ascomycota; Dothideomycetes. The record is from RNAcentral.